UGAACCUCUUAAAAAAUUCAGAACAAGUUUUCUCAGAGUUUACAAAGGGAUUUCAAUCACAUGAAGAGAGGAAAACACACUGAGUCGUAACAGUGACAUCAAAAUACUUUUGAAGUUGACUGAAAAUGUGGUUGCUUUUGUUUGAGAAUGGCAAAUUAAAGAAUUGGAUAUUGGGUUCUUAUCUCAGAAGAAACAAAGGAGGAGACCCUGAAAAACUGAACAUGAAGAGGAAGAAGUGGAGUUAUGCAACUCUUCAUAAGGCUGGUUCCACCACCGGUCAGAAGAAUGAAAAUUGCAGAUACCUAUUCUGUGUGUUUCUCUCCAGAAUGGUGGAUGUUAGAGACCCUACUAAGGAUUUGUGGACUCACUAACGUAGUCUCUAAAAGGUGCUACAUCUGUACAAAUGAAUCCAAUGUUUCCAUGUGAGUCCAAAGUUCUCAAAUUCUUCACUGGCAGCAUUAUACAUUUUGGUGUAAAGUCUAUUUUCAUGGUUUAAAAAGUCAGACUAUUUUCCUGGGACAUUUGAUGAUAGAGAAUAAUUCAAUUUGCCAAAUAAUAUUAUUUUAAUUGACUUGCUUCCCAAACUGACUCUUGUCUAGCAAUUACACUUAUAGGUAUAAUUGUAUUUUUGUAUAAGUCUGAUUGAACAACCUUUGAAAUAUUUAUGCACAUUUAAAAUAAGAGGCUAUGUUUCACCAAUGGUUAUCAAUAAAAAAU
Molecule: long non-coding RNA, 717 nt
Filed under: Homo sapiens (human)
Lineage: Eukaryota; Metazoa; Chordata; Mammalia; Primates; Hominidae
Description: HSALNT0251636
Source: RNAcentral